CAGCCGCCGCGGUAAUACGAAGGGGGCUAGCGUUGCUCGGAAUGACUGGGCGUAAAGGGCGCGUAGGCGGAUGGCACAGUCAGAUGUGAAAUUCCCGGGCUUAACCUGGGGGCUGCAUUUGAUACGUGUUGUCUAGAGUGAGGAAGAGGGUUGUGGAAUUCCCAGUGUAGAGGUGAAAUUCGUAGAUAUUGGGAAGAACACCGGUGGCGAAGGCGGCAACCUGGUCCUUGACUGACGCUGAGGCGCGAAAGCGUGGGGAGCAAACAGGAUUAGAUACCCCCGUAGUCCCUGUCUCUUAUAC
Molecule: ribosomal RNA, 301 nt
Filed under: uncultured bacterium
Lineage: Bacteria
Description: partial 16S ribosomal RNA
Rfam family: Bacterial small subunit ribosomal RNA
Source: RNAcentral